UAGGGAAUCUUCGGCAAUGGGGGGAACCCUGACCGAGCAACGCCGCGUGAGUGAAGAAGGUUUUCGGAUCGUAAAGCUCUGUUGUUAAGGAAGAACGAGUGUGAGAAUGGAAAGUUCAUGCUGUGACGGUACUUAACCAGAAAGGGACGGCUAACUACGUGCCAGCAGCCGCGGUAAUACGUAGGUCCCGAGCGUUUUCCGGAUUUAUUGGGCGUAAAGCGAGCGCAGGCGGUUAGAAAAGUCUGAAGUGAAAGGCAGUGGCUCAACCAUUGUAGGCUUUGGAAACUGUUUAACUUGAGUGCAGAAGGGGAGGGGGGAAUUCCAUGUGUAGCGGUGAAAUGCGUAGAUAUAUGGAGGAACACCGGUGGCGAAAGCGGCUCUCUGGUCUGUAACUGACGCGGAGGCUCGAAAGCGUGGGGAGCGAACAGG
RNAcentral lists this ribosomal RNA (429 nucleotides) under Bacteroidota bacterium. Its description in RNAcentral is "Bacteroidetes bacterium partial 16S ribosomal RNA". It matches the Rfam family "Bacterial small subunit ribosomal RNA", at positions 355 to 776 of the family's 1533-position model. Lineage: Bacteria; Pseudomonadati; Bacteroidota. The record is from RNAcentral.